CGCGGCCUAUCAGCUUGUUGGUGAGGUAAUGGCUCACCAAGGCUUCGACGGGUAGCCGGCCUGAGAGGGCGACCGGCCACACUGGGACUGAGAUACGGCCCAGACUCCUACGGGAGGCAGCAGUGGGGAAUAUUGCACAAUGGGCGCAAGCCUGAUGCAGCAACGCCGCGUGCGGGAUGACGGCCUUCGGGUUGUAAACCGCUUUCAGUAGGGACGAAGCUAACGUGACGGUACCUACAGAAGAAGGACCGGCUAACUACGUGCCAGCAGCCGCGGUGAUACGUAGGGUCCGAGCGUUGUCCGGAAUUAUUGGGCGUAAAGGGCUUGUAGGCGGUCCGUCGCGUCAGGAGUGAAAACUCGGGGCUUAACCCCGAGCCUGCUUUUGAUACGGGCGGACUAGAGGGAUGCAGGGGAGAACGGAAUUCCUGGUGGAGCGGUGGAAUGCGCAGAUAUCAGGAGGAACACCGGUGGCGAAGGCGGCUCUCUGGGCAUCACCUGACGCUGAGAAGCGAAAGCGUGGGGAGCAAACAGGCUUAGAUACCCUGGUAGUCCACGCCGUAAACGAUGGGUACUAGAUGUGGGAGGUGUCGACUCCUCCCGUAUCGUAGCUAACGCACUAAGUACCCCGCCUGGGGAGUACGG
Molecule: ribosomal RNA, 642 nt
Filed under: uncultured bacterium
Lineage: Bacteria
Description: bacterial SSU rRNA
Rfam family: Bacterial small subunit ribosomal RNA
Source: RNAcentral